AAGUCGGCAAAUUGGAUCCGUAACUUCGGGAUAAGGAUUGGCUCUGAGGAUCGGGGCGUGUCGGGCUUGGCGAGGAAGCGGGUCGCGGCUGACGUGCCGGGCCUGUGCGAGGUGAAGCGUUGUUCCGUUUCGGCGGUCAAUGUCGAAUCCGAGUUCGGUCCCGUGCCUAGGCCUCCCGCGGAACCGUCUUGCUGCGAGGCUCCGGGUGCGCCCGUCAGGGCGUCCGGAAGUCCUCUUCGGCCGCCAUUCAACGGUCAGCUCAGAACUGGCACGGACCGGGGGAAUCCGACUGUCUAAUUAAAACAAAGCAUUGCGAUGGCCCCUGCGGGUGUUGACGCAAUGUGAUUUCUGCCCAGUGCUCUGAAUGUCAACGUGAAGAAAUUCAAGCAAGCGCGGGUAAACGGCGGGAGUAACUAUGACUCUCGCUGUGCGAACAUAGAGUCAUAGAGCCAGAACCUCCUCGUGGUCCCGCUG
Tribolium castaneum (red flour beetle) is the source of this 474-nucleotide ribosomal RNA. It matches the Rfam family "Archaeal large subunit ribosomal RNA", at positions 1808 to 2095 of the family's 2987-position model. Lineage: Eukaryota; Metazoa; Arthropoda; Insecta; Coleoptera; Tenebrionidae. The record is from Rfam.